UCAGGAGUUAUAAUAGUUAUAACUGCUGAUCCAAAGGAGGUAAAUGUCUAGGACACGCCUGAGACAUGAAAUAUCUGCUCUUCUGAGAUUUCACACAAAAGGACACACUCAUCAAAGAGAUACAUAUAGAAGUCCAACAGGAAACACUUGCAUCCAGGAUGUGAAGUCCUCCAAUUUCCUGGGUUGCUGUGCAGAAAGCUCUGGUUCUCUGGUCCUCUGUAUGUGACCUUGCUUCUUUCCUGUCAUGUUCUGGACUCCACAGUGCAGUGUACUGUUGUGGAUCUACAAUCAUCCCUUUCCUGGGCACUUGACUUCUUCAGUCUGAAAACUCAUGUCCUAGAAAGUUUCUGAAAUUAAUGAUUAUUUCUUCUUCUAUGUUUUCUCUAACCUCCUUCUAGAAUUGCUGUUAUUAGAAUAUUGACCUCUAUUAUUUUCUAUAGAAAAAUAAAUCUAUUUCUUUGAGGUUUUGCUCUACCUUCUACUACUUUGUUGUCCAAUGCUCUGAACUUCAUUUCUGCCAUCAUAUACUAAAUUUGUUUUGUUCUCUGAGUGAUUAUUGGGAUUAUCUAGGAUCCGUUAUUGCCUAUCUCCUUCUCCAUGCUUCCCCAGAGAGGAGCUUAGCAAACAGACCUGCUGAAAACUGCGUGAGUUUCACUCUUGGUCAAGUACCCAGGCUUGAAAGAAGAAAUCAUGGCUCAUGAGACACAAUGGAGUCUCACUGGAGUAUAAGCCAGCCGCCAGCAUUCAGCUGAGAAAUCAGACCAGAGGACUGGACUGCAUACUUGCUCUGGGUGACCAGAGGGCCUCCCCGUAUCCUGCCUUCCAGGUGCUUCCAGGUGACAGUGCAGCUGCUGUGAGUCCCUCCAUUUGUGGCCUGGUCCUUAUGCUCCAAAGGCCCCCUGGAUGUCUGUUGCUGUGGGACCAGGGGUAUACAUUUUGCAGGUGUGCAGCAGAUUGAGACACGGAAACCAGAAAAAUGGUAACAGGCUGUCAGAACGAAGUGCAGAGGUGGGGUCACCAGCAUCCAAGGUGAGCAGAUUCGGGCCCAGCAUGGCCUCCUGAGCCUGGCCUCCCCAGCACGGUGACCUUGGUUAAGCAGGAACCAUCGUUCUCCACCUUCCACUUUUGCACACAUCUAAUGAGCUGUUGGUUUUGGAUCAACAUUGAAUCUUCUACCCUCCUGCAGAUCCCCACACCCUGCCAGUGCCCCCCAGGGUGGCCAAGGGUGCCUGUGAAGAUGCAGGUGGUGGAGAGUUUCCCCAGAAAACAGUUGGUGAUCCCCACAGAGGUGGCAGGGUCGGUGCCUGUGACUGAGCUGCCACACCCAAGGAAAGAGUGAUAGCAGUGUGGUAUGGCACAGGACCACUGGAGGAAGACCCCCAAGGCUUGUGGGAUGCAUUCUGUCAGAUGGUGGCUGCUGAGCUGCUGGCACCCCUGCAGACCUGCCCUUUCCCAAAUGUCACAGGACAGAAGCUUACAGUGCUGUACUUUGGAGACUAGUUUCUUUCACUCAGAUAAAUGAACUCACAAUUUACCCAUUUGUAGCAUGCAUCACAUUUUUUCCUCUUUAUUACUGCUGUGAACACUGGGGUAGAGUGACUAUCAAUUCACAUGAGAAUCAUUUUGUUCUGUGAGAACACAGGGUUACUGGUGUGUUGGGUUUAACUUCAUAAGGAUCUGCCAACUCUUUCAGCAAGUGGCUGUGUAACUUCCCUCCAGCAAUGAGAGGCAACUUCUCUUUCUCUACACCCUUGCCAGCAGUUGUUGUGCUGGUUUUCAAAAUUACAUCCAUCUGCUUUUAUUUUAACUAUUCUCGCUGAUGCAAGUGUGGUUUAAAUUUGCAUUUCCUUAGUGAUGAGGUUGAGUACCUCAUUAUAGCUUCUCUGCUACUGAUUGCCUUCUUGGGUGAUAUAUCCCAUCAUAUGGUCUCCAUUUUUCAUAGACUGUCUCCUCGUUGUUCAGUUUUAAGUAUUCUCCUAAUAUCUCAGAACUUGUUCACAAGAGAUCUGAUUUGAAAAUGUUCCCUACCAGGUGUGUGGCUGAAUUUUCAUUCUCUCAGCUGUGUUUCUAAUAGAAGAGAAGCUGAUGCUGAAGUGCAGCCUGUCAUGGGCUCUUCUUUGAUGGAUUGUGCUUUGGGUGUCAUGUCCACAC
This is a long non-coding RNA of Sciurus carolinensis (gray squirrel), 2151 nucleotides long. RefSeq lists it as uncharacterized. The record is from RefSeq and is a predicted model, not a curated record. The transcript has 3 exons. NCBI's taxonomy places the organism in Eukaryota, Metazoa, Chordata, Mammalia, Rodentia, Sciuridae.